Long non-coding RNA from Camellia sinensis, 345 nucleotides. RefSeq lists it as uncharacterized. The record is from RefSeq and is a predicted model, not a curated record. Lineage: Eukaryota; Viridiplantae; Streptophyta; Magnoliopsida; Ericales; Theaceae.
UAGCAUUGCCUUUUCAAAAAUUCCCAAAAUACUCUCUCUCUCUCUCUCUCUCGACUGCAAGCAGUGGCAAGGGGGGACGACGACGGUCAAUGAGGUAGAGGUCAUCCAAAUGGUUGGAGAAAGUAUAGAAACUGUUGGUGCUGGUUUGGAGGGGGAUCUAGUGGCAAUAAGAUGCCAACACUGGAGGAGUAUGGCACUAAUUUGACAAAAAUGACAGAAGAGGGUAAACUGGAUCCAGUUGUUGGAAGGCAGCCGCAAAUAGAACGUGUGAUUCAAAUUUUGGGUCGACGGACGAAAAAUAACCCCUGACUUAUAGGAGAGCCUGGUGUGGGGAAAACCGUUGUU